ACGUCAAGUCCUCAUGGCCUUUAUGACCAGGGCUGCACACGUCCUACAAUGGCGUACACAAAGGGAGGCAAACUCGCGAGAGCAAGCAAAUCCCAAAAAUACGCCCUAGUUCGGAUUGCAGGCUGCAACUCGCCUGCAUGAAGCCGGAAUCGCUAGUAAUCGCGGGUCAGCAUACCGCGGUGAAUGUGUUCCUGAGCCUU
This 200-nucleotide ribosomal RNA is filed under the name uncultured organism. Its description in RNAcentral is "partial small subunit ribosomal RNA". It matches the Rfam family "Bacterial small subunit ribosomal RNA", at positions 1182 to 1382 of the family's 1533-position model. The record is from RNAcentral.